RNAcentral lists this ribosomal RNA (108 nucleotides) under Pseudomonas schmalbachii. Its description in RNAcentral is "partial 23S ribosomal RNA". It matches the Rfam family "Bacterial large subunit ribosomal RNA", at positions 2819 to 2925 of the family's 2925-position model. Lineage: Bacteria; Pseudomonadati; Pseudomonadota; Gammaproteobacteria; Pseudomonadales; Pseudomonadaceae. The record is from RNAcentral.
UUGAGUCCCCUGAAGGGCCGUCGAAGACUACGACGUUGAUAGGUCGGGUGUGUAAGCGCUGUGAGGCGUUGAGCUAACCGAUACUAAUUGCCCGUGAGGCUUGACCAU